CUUAAAAGGAGGGUGGCUGAUUUUGGGGAGUGGGAUAAAGUUGGGUGGGGUGAGUGGCCUGGCCGACUGAGACAGUCACUCCCCUCACCCCCCAUUGUGCAUUUCAGUGUGCUGAUAGGGAGAUGGGUAAGAAAAUCACAUGACAGGUGCCCCAGGCCCAAGCAGAGCAGGGUUCCUCUGUGGGAGGCAGAGGAAAGGCUGAGACUUGCUGUGAGGGCCUCUGUCCACCAGCCUGAGCCGGAGCAACAGCAGAGCUUCCCCUGACCCCCGCCUACUCUCACCACCGUGGCCACAUCACCAGGCUCAGAUUCAGAGAGCAAAGGGCUUGGGGGAGGCCCAAGGAGGUACUUGGGUACUUGGUGCCUCCUGUGCUGUGGCCCAAUGUGCCUCGACUCAGAGGGGGAUUAAGGUUCUGCCACCACAUUUCAGGUUCAAUCUGUGCAUGAUCAGGUGGCCCAAUGGCUGGAGAGUUUGACAGGUGGCCUCGGGCCUGAGUGCCCUUUGCUGGUUUGAAGCACAUUGCUGGACCCAGAAACCCCUGCCUUAAAUCUUGGGCGUGCAGAGUUGUAAAUCAGCCUGGGGUGAAAUUUGGCUUCUGGAAAGCUGGGCUUUUGGUCAUGAAUGCAGUGCAUUAAUGUGGUGGUGCUGUGGGGGCAGGUCUCAGCCUCUCCCUGUACCUUUCUCUCUCGAGAUCUCCACCUCCUCCUUCCUCCUGUUCCACCUGAGCCUCUUCCUCCUCUGCAGGGGACUCUGUCAAGGAACCUACCUCAAUCCAGGGAGUGUGAAUGAUGCCUGGGAGGUCCUGGAUCUCAAGCCAGAGAUCUCAAGCUUUUCCUUCCCUCCCACCUGAUCCUCUCCCUCCUCCGCCAGACACCUGCUGCAGGGAGGUCCUAAAACCAGGUAACUUUUACAAAGGCUGCAUGGUCCUUGGGUUCAUGCUGGGUCCCAGGCUUGAAGGGUGCUGACUGAUCAGGGGCUGCUCACAGGACUUACCAAGUGGGGUUGUUGAUUUCAGGGUGUGGGGUGAGUUCCGGCUCUGAGAUUGUCACACCCCAGCCCGUAGCGUGUUUCUGGGCGCUGAAAGGGAGAGGAGGAAGGAAAUCACACUGGCAGUGCCCCCGGGCCCUGCAGAGCGGACUUCUGCCGUUGGAGGCUGUCAGGGCUCCGAGUUGCUGUUAGAGCAGCGCAUUCUGGUCAAAGGGCUCUGGAGAACCCCGGAGACCCUCCACUCCUUCAGGCUGAAAUACGUGGUUGCCGAUUGUAUGACGAGACCCCACGGAAGUGCUCGGGGCUGAGAUGGGGUUACAGGGCGCCUCUUAUCAUCUGGCCAAUUUCUUUCACCUCAGGAUACUGGCAUAAUUCUGCUCACACAUCUUUGGCUCAAAUUCAGUGUGUUUCUCUGAUAAAUGACCAGAAAAUUUGACAGGCUCUCUGAGGGACAAGCAAAUUCCUGGCUUGAAUCUCGAAUGUUCAGGUUUCUGAAACCAGGCUGACAUCACGCCCUCUCUUCUUGGGUGUUCAGUUCGCUGAGAGGAAGGAGCAGAGGACACUCACGCCGGUCUGUGCCCAAGACCAGUGCUUCAAACGGCAAAGCCCCAUCUUUAGCCCUGGUGUUUCUGGACCCAAGGGUCUGCCUCUGGAGAAACAGGGCCAGCUGACCCAGGGAGCCUGUCACACUCUGGCCCUGGGGCACCGAUCUGGCUGACAUGCCCGCCAGAUGCUGAGGGCACAGCUGUGUCCCUGCCCUGAGGUGAGUCCGUUUGGCCAGAGCCGUAGAGGCUCCCUGUUUCCAGCCCAAGCCUCUGAGCAUGUGCUGAGGGUCCCACAGUCCUCCCUCAACUGCACCUCUG
Molecule: long non-coding RNA, 1850 nt
Filed under: Sus scrofa (pig)
Lineage: Eukaryota; Metazoa; Chordata; Mammalia; Artiodactyla; Suidae
Description: lncRNA (ENSSSCG00035066289.1)
Source: RNAcentral